This 442-nucleotide ribosomal RNA is filed under the name uncultured bacterium. Its description in RNAcentral is "partial 16S ribosomal RNA". It matches the Rfam family "Bacterial small subunit ribosomal RNA", at positions 338 to 795 of the family's 1533-position model. The record is from RNAcentral.
CCUACGGGAGGCAGCAGUGGGGAAUAUUGGGCAAUGGGCGCAAGCCUGACCCAGCGACGCCGCGUGCGGGAAGACGGCCUUCGGAUUUGUAACCUCUUUUUGCAGGGAAGACAAAAGGGCGGUACCUGAGUAAGAAUCUCCGUCUAACUACAUGCCAGCAGCCGCGGUAAUACGGAGGGGGCAAGCGUUAUCCGGAUUUACUGGGUGUAAAGGGGGCGUAGACGGCAGUGUAAGUCUGCAGUGAAAGGCCGGGGCUCAACCGGCGAACUGCAGUGGAAACUGUACGGCUGGAGUGCAAGAGAGGUAAGUGGAAUUCAUAGUGUAGCGGUGAAAUGCGUAGAUAUUAGGAGGAACACCAGUGGCGAAGGCAGGUGACUGGACUGUAACUGACGUUGAGGCUCGAAAGCGUGGGGAGCAAACAGGAUUAGAUACCCCUGUAGUC